Molecule: long non-coding RNA, 3852 nt
Organism: Neofelis nebulosa (Clouded leopard)
Lineage: Eukaryota; Metazoa; Chordata; Mammalia; Carnivora; Felidae
Exons: 2
Source: RefSeq, a predicted model, not a curated record
GGCCUGAUUUAAAUGCCAAUCCCACCACCUCCCUCAUAGGGUGAAGCUUAAAUGAGUUAAUACAUGUAAAUGCCUAGGACAGUCCUGGCAUAUAUAAAAGUGCCAAAAGAGUACAUUUUUUUUUAAAGGAAAAUAAGAGUGUGGCAAGGGCCCAGGUUCUUGAGCCUUUAUAUGAGUAAAGUCCCGUAAAAUGCUCUCUGAGACCCCUUACCGCAAAGCUUUGAUGAGCAGUCCUCAAUUCUAACUAUCUCUGUUCCCCUUUCAUUCAUUUGCGUACUAAUAUAUAAUCCUCAUUUUUCCCCCCACGCAUUCAUGAAUUGAUUUAGUCAUCCUCUCAUCAGUUCACAUGCACACCAUUCACUGAGGCCUCUCUGCGCAGGUCCUUGUUCCGGGCGUUGGGGCCGCGGGCAUGACACAGACAAUCCAUGCCCCAGUAAGGGAGUAUCUAUAGCAGUGCUGUGCAACAGGAAUACAAUGCAAGCCACGUAUGUGAUUUAAAUUUUUCUAGAAGCAAUGCUACGAGAGUAAAAAAACAGGUGAAAUUAACGUUAAUGUAUCUUAUUUAACGCAAUAUAUCCAAAUAUUAUUUAAACAAGUGAUCAGGGCAAGCAUUUAUUGAGAUGUUUAACAUUCUUUUUUUCUCGUACGAAGCCUUCGGAAUCGUGUGUACUUUACACUUACAGCACAGCGCAUUUGGACUAACCAACCACGUGAGGACCCUGGAGGCUAGCGGCUACCGUAUUAGUACAGGACGCUUUAGGUAGCUUUGUCGUUCAAACCUGCUCCAUCCCCUUCUUUUUGCCUCUCAGCGCCGUUUGACUUGCUCAGCAUCAUCUUCUGGACCUCGCUGCUGGGUGGUCUCUGGCUUCAAAGCCUGCCUUCUGCCCCGUCUUACUUUGUUCCCUGCAGGCGAGGACCUUCCACUUCACAGCUGACCUCUUCUCUGGAAUUUCUCCCACCCUUCUCACUUCUUCAGCGCUGGGUAGCCCCCACCUCUGCUUACCUCACUGCCGUCCUCCAGCUGGAAGAACAACAGCAUCUUACAGAUCCAUGUGGCUAAGCCCACCUGCCCCACCCCCACCCCACCAGGCUUAUCUGGCCACCGCGUCACCUCUCACUGACUCCGGGUGCCGUUCCCCACGGCUCAUUCUCUAACCCUCUCUGGUGUCCUGGGGCCCCACUCUUUUCUCUCCUCUUUCUCAACUGUUUACCUCUCAUUCUGCCACCACAUGUCCAGAGAAAUAGAGGUCAAAUGAUCGGAGCUCCACGAACAAGCCCACAUCUACCAAAACUCUCUCCAGACCUUCUGCUGCUUUCCUGCAUCCCAGAGGAAGAGCUGUCCUUCCAGGAUUCAGCAUUGAUCCCCUCCCCUGGGUCUCGUUUUGUCACCUCACAACUUCUCAGGACCCUCAGUUCCUUCUCUCUCUACACCCCCUUCCCGAUUUUCUCUCUUUAUUCCACAAAUAUUCUCAAGUUUGUCUUUUUCUGGAAACAAACCCUCCUUGGCCCUGAAGUCCAGCUCUUGCUCUCUGCUCAUCUAUUUCCUUAGUUGAGCUUCCUGUGCAUCUAUUCUCUGGCUCCACCUCUUGCUUCCAGAUCAAUCUCUAAACCACUCAGUCUGGCUUCUGUUCCUAUCAUGCCACCAAACCGUCUCCUGACGACACUGUCCUCUUUGUCCUUUUCUCAGUCAGUUCUUUCCCUUGCAGUCUUGGACAGAAUUGACCUGUCCCCCCGCUGCAGCAGAAUCACUAGGCUGCUUGCUAAAAAGGGAGAUCUUGGGGCGCCUGGGAUUCUAAUUUGAUCUAUUAACCCAAGUGGUCCUUCUUUUCUCCCUCUUCCUUCUUUCCUAACCCCUUCCCACCUUAAAAUUAGACCAUAAGGUUGAAACAUUUGAAGCUUACUACCCUGAGGAGGCUGGCAGAGCUGAAUGUAGAGUCAAAUUCUUGGCCUGCUUCAGAUUCUGUGAUUCCCUCUCUCUCUGUCCCUCCCCUGCUCGGUGCACUCUCUCUUUCUCUCUCUCUCUCUCUCUCUCUCUCUCAAUCCCUCAAAAAUAAAUAAAGGUUAAAAAAUACUAAAAACUGGGGUGCUUUGUCCAAGUUAGGUUGUUCAGAAAUAUUAAAUAGCAUGAUGGAAUGAUGACAUAUUUUGAAAAGCUUUAUUGAGAUAUAAUUCACAUACCAUACAAUUCAACCAAAGUGUACAAUUCAGUGACUCUUAGAUAUUCACAGAGUUGUACAAUCAUUGUCACAAUUUUAUAACAUUCUCAUCACCCCCAAAAGAAGCCUGGAACCUCUUUGCUGUCACUUCUAACUCCCUCAUCUUCCCAGCCCUAGGCAACCACUAGUCUCCUUUCUGUCUCUAUGGAUUAGCCUGUCCUACACAUUCCAUAUAAAUGGAAUCGUACAAUAUGUGACUUUUUUUUUUAAGUAGGCUCCAUGCCCAGCGUGGAGACCAACGCGAGGCAUGAACUCACGACCCUGAGAUCAAGAGCUGAGCUGAGGUCAAGUUAGAUGCUUAAUCGACUGAGCUACCCAGGUGUCCCAAUAUAUGACUUUUUCACUGGCUUCUUUCACUUAGCCUAAUGUUUUCAAGGUUCAUCUAUGUCGUAGCAUAUACCAGUACGUCAUUCCUUUUUUAUGGCUGAGUAACCUUCUACUGUAUGGAUAGACCACAUGUUAUUUACUCAUUUAUCAGUUAACUGAUGGCCAUCUGGGUUGUUUCCACUUCUCAGCUAGUAUGAAGAAUGCUCUGUGAACAUUCAUGUACAAGUUUUUGUGUUCACAUAUGUUUUCAUUUCUGUUGGAUAUACACCUCAGAGUGGAAUUGUUAGAUCAUAGGGUAACUCUGUGUUCAAUUAUUUGAGAAACUGCCAGACUGUUUUCAAAGCAGAUGCAUCAUUUUACAUUCCCACUUCCAAUGUAUGACCGUUUCAAUUUCUCCACGUCCUCGUGGACACUUCUUGCUAUCUUUCUUUCCAAACAUAGUCAUCUUGGUGGGAGCAAAGUGGCAUCUCAUGGUGGUUGUGAUUUACAUUUCCCUGAUGGCUAAUGAUAUUAAGCAUCUUUUCAUGGGCUUAUUUUAUGACAGUUGCUUAAUAACCUUUCCUCUUCCGCAUGCCACUGUUCUCAGAGAAAGCUUUCUUCCUGAGGAAGUGUCCUGUGAGGACAAAACACAGACAGUGUGGCUCAGCAACACUGACAGUCAUAGUGUACUAUUUCAUUUAGGCCACAGACUCAUGGCAAGUCUAUGCUUUCCUAGCUACCCAUUUAUUUUAGAAUUAGAAUGUCCAAGAUUUGUUCAAAGUAUUUUAGAAAAUACCUGCGACCAAGCAUGCCUACUCUACCUCUUCACCUCUCGCAUUCCUGAGAAGAAGCUCCAUCAUCCCAUGUCUAGUUGCGUAUUUUACGCCAUUUAAAGGAUGACAUAAAACAUUCCACGUUUACUUCCGAAAGAUCAGUGUUACAUCUUUGAACAAAGUAAACACAUCACAUGUAAGUUAGAACACUUAUCAAGAAAUGAGACACGUGCUCAAUAACCCUCCUUAUUGUGAAUACAACGCAUGCAGACAAGCAAUGAUGCAUGACCGUGUAGCUUAAUGAGUUCCUGUAAAUAUCCUUGUAACCACUAUUGAGUGCUAGAAAUAGAGCAUUGCCAAUACCUCAAAAGCUAUCUAGCCCCUUUCCAGAUUAUAAUCUCUUCUCUCCCCUCUGACCUUUAUGAUAAUGUGUUCCUGGGUUUUCGAUAUAGUUUUAUUAUCUAAAUAGGCAUUUCUGAAGUAUAGAUUAGGUCAGACUGUUUUUGAACUUCACAAGAAAAUUGUACAGUAUGAAUUAUCUUGUGUCUGGCUCCUUU